RNAcentral lists this transfer RNA (71 nucleotides) under Marmota monax (woodchuck). RNAcentral's name for it is "tRNA.Val". Lineage: Eukaryota; Metazoa; Chordata; Mammalia; Rodentia; Sciuridae. The record is from RNAcentral.
GAGGUUGUGGCUCAGUGGUAGAGAGCUCACUGAACGCGGGUGAGGCUCUGGGUUCGAUUCUCAGCACCACA